GAGAAAGAGACUUUGGAGUUCUCCUUUUUGUAUCCAUGGCACCAGAUAGGCCUUUUCAUCUUGCCCUUAACUCUUGUACCUGUAGGAGGAGCGUUUGACUCACCAGACUGGUUGAAUCGCACCCAGCAACAGGAGCAGUCCCAUCCAGUCUCUGCAGAGCCCUCCUGUUCUCCACCCCAGGGAACAAUGAAGAGUUCAAGUUCACAAUAAGAACACCUAACAUUUACGUAGCUUUUGAACACUUCACAUGCAUUACCCUGUUGUGAUCCUUGCAAUGCCUCUCUAAGGGCGAAGAGCAGCAAGUGCAGGGGUGUGAACUGGACAGGAUAAAUGGGAGUGGGGAAGGUUAAGCAUCCUCUCCCCCUCCUCCAGCAUGACUGCUCCAGUCAAAACUUGAUACACACACACCCCAUGGUUGC
Molecule: long non-coding RNA, 419 nt
Organism: Hemicordylus capensis (graceful crag lizard)
Lineage: Eukaryota; Metazoa; Chordata; Lepidosauria; Squamata; Cordylidae
Exons: 3
Source: RefSeq, a predicted model, not a curated record